AAGAAAAAGUCUGAACUAGACCAGGAUUCCCCUAGUAACUGCGAGUGAAGAGGGAUUAGCCCAGCACCGAAGCCGGCGGUCAUUUGACUGCUAGGCAAUGUGGUGUUUAGGUUGGUUCUUGGCAUUACUGCUCCACCCUAAGUCCAGCAAUGAGUACGGCUUACUGGAUUGGCCCAUUGAGGGUGAAAGGCCCGUGUGGGUGGAGACUCAAAUUAUCAUUUUUGCCCUGAAUUAACCUUGGAGUCGGGUUGUUUGUGAAUGCACCCCAAAGUGGGUGGUAAACUCCAUCUAAGGCUAAAUACUGGCACGAGUCCAAUAGCGAACAAGUACCGUGAGGGAAAGUUGAAAAUUCUCUGAAAGAGAUAGAGUAAACAGUUGGUGAACCCGCUAAGAGGUAAACGGGUGGAGUUGAAAAGUACUCUGAAGAGAUU
RNAcentral lists this ribosomal RNA (431 nucleotides) under Clinostomum complanatum. RNAcentral's name for it is "partial large subunit ribosomal RNA". It matches the Rfam family "Eukaryotic large subunit ribosomal RNA", at positions 53 to 451 of the family's 3401-position model. The record is from RNAcentral. Lineage: Eukaryota; Metazoa; Platyhelminthes; Trematoda; Strigeidida; Clinostomidae.